RNAcentral lists this ribosomal RNA (191 nucleotides) under uncultured bacterium. RNAcentral describes it as "partial 16S ribosomal RNA". It matches the Rfam family "Bacterial small subunit ribosomal RNA", at positions 1309 to 1500 of the family's 1533-position model. The record is from RNAcentral.
AACCCGCCUGCAUGAAGUCGGAAUUGCUAGUAAUCGCGGAUCAGCAUGCCGCGGUGAAUACGUUCCCGGGCCUUGUACACACCGCCCGUCACACCAUGGGAGCCGGUAAUACCCGAAGUCAGUAGUCCAACCUCGUGAGGACGCUGCCGAAGGUAGGAUUGGCGACUGGGGUGAAGUCGUAACAAGGUACC